GACGUAGGAUGCAAGCGUUGUCCGGAUUUAUUGGGCGUAAAGAGUUCGUAGGCGGUUCGUUAAGUCUGGUGUUAAAGACUGGGGCUCAACCCUGGAAGUGCACUGGAUACUGGCGGACUGGAGUGGAGUAGAGGCAAGCGGAAUUCCCAGUGUAGCGGUGAAAUGCGUAGAUAUUGGGAAGAACACCGGUGGCGCAAGCGGCUUGCUGGGCUUUAACUGACGCUGAGGAACGAAAGCUAGGGGAGCAAAUGGG
Molecule: ribosomal RNA, 253 nt
Filed under: uncultured bacterium
Lineage: Bacteria
Description: partial 16S ribosomal RNA
Rfam family: Bacterial small subunit ribosomal RNA
Source: RNAcentral